GACGAACGCUGGCGGCGUGCCUAAUACAUGCAAGUUGAGCGCUGAAGGUUGGUACUUGUACCAACUGGAUGAGCAGCGAACGGGUGGGUAACGCGUGGGGAAUCUGCCUUUGAGCGGGGGACAACAUUUGGAAACGAAUGCUAAUACCGCAUAAAAACUUUAAACACAAGUUUUAAGUUUAAAAGAUGCAAUUGCAUCACUCAAAGAUGAUCCCGCGUUGUAUUAGCUAGUUGGUGAGGUAAAGGCUCACCAAGGCGAUGAUACAUAGCCGACCUGAGAGGGUGAUCGGCCACAUUGGGACUGAGACACGGCCCAAACUCCUACGGGAGGCAGCAGUAGGGAAUCUUCGGCAAUGGACGAAAGUCUGACCGAGUAACGCCGCGUGAGUGAAGAAGGUUUUCGGAUCGUAAAACUCUGUUGGUAGAGAAGAACGUUGGUGAGAGUGGAAAGCUCAUCAAGUGACGGUAACUACCCAGAAAGGGACGGCUAACUACGUG
This 497-nucleotide ribosomal RNA is filed under the name uncultured bacterium. RNAcentral's name for it is "partial 16S ribosomal RNA". It matches the Rfam family "Bacterial small subunit ribosomal RNA", at positions 28 to 507 of the family's 1533-position model. The record is from RNAcentral.